Anopheles coustani is the source of this 1998-nucleotide long non-coding RNA. RefSeq lists it as uncharacterized. NCBI's taxonomy places the organism in Eukaryota, Metazoa, Arthropoda, Insecta, Diptera, Culicidae. The record is from RefSeq and is a predicted model, not a curated record. The transcript has 8 exons.
AGAAAGUACUCCGUUGUGCACGUGCUGGAACAGCACCAAGGAUGGUGACAAUCGCAUUCGUUAGAACAGGAUGCAUUAUUUGAAUUUCUGUGGUUUAUGUGAUAGUUUAUUUCGCAGCCUUGCCGUCGUGAUCAUAACCUAACCAGUAACAGAAGCAGUAACAGUUUGAAUAACUUGAAGCAUGAUUUGAUUGUGUGAAUAGCAAUGAAGCGAUCGGUUGCUAACCGGAUUUGCAGAGUGGCAUUUUUUCGGUGAGUGUGUUGUACAGUAGGCAGUGAGAAAGUUUUCUUGGAUAUGAACUGGUUCAAAAAGCAAAAAUAUGGAAUCAAUGGCUUUCGUAAGAAGAAAAAGAAGAAUUGUUUGAAUUUGUACGUGGUUUAUGCGAUAUUUUGUUCUGCAGGCUUGCCAUUGCCUUGAUCAUAACCCCGCCAGUGGAUAACGCAGUCAUGAGGAAAAGCAGUACUAUAUUUUUAGGAACAACAUCUGCGCCCGAAACAGUGAUAAAAUACUUUGUCAAGUGUAACAAUUUGAAUAACUUGGAACAACGAAAAAUGGAAUCGAAUGGAAUGGAACCGAUGGAAUGUGUAUUCAUUGCUGGCCGCCUAUGAAUCGCCAAUCAAAGUUGCUGAGAUGUUAUAAAUAUUGUGAUCGGAAUUUUGGAAAUCAUGAAGUUUAUGAAUCUAACACGUUACAUUACAUUUGAUCUGCCCGCCACAUAACCUCAGAAUCAUGAAAAGUAUGGAAUCAUCGGCAUUUAUAGGAUUGAAAAUACGCAUUGUUUGCGUAUAUGUGUUGUUUAUCCAAUAAUUUCAUCCGCAACCAUGCUGUUGAGAUCAUAACUUUGCUAAUGAAUAUCGUAACUAAACUAUAAAUGUACCAAAAACAACAAUAAGCCAAGCGGCACAUUGCUGGAAAGCCAUGCAGGGGUUGGACAACGGAAACCCCAUUUUGGUAAACGUAUCCUUGCAGGACGUGUUUCAAACAGUAAGAAACGAUGGAUUGUGUUGUCAAGUGAACUGUUAGUUUCGCUAAGAAAAGUUAUUUGCUGGAAAGGAGCUAGUAGCAUUGGUCGAAUUUGAAUAACUUGUUUGUUUGGAUGGAAUUUAAAUCAUCUGCUUGUAUGAAUCACAGUAACAACUGAACUAUUUGUAAACCGAUGAGUGGAGUGAUUUGUUAAGUGUGUCGUUUAAAAGGGAUGUCUUCGAAGUGCUGCGCGCUGCAGUGCCAUACAGUGUUAUCAAACCCAUCUUGGAGAAACUAUUCAUGCACGUGGAUGUGUUUCAAACAGUAAGCUACGAAGCUGUGUGUUUGUUUAACUAAGGAAAGCUAUAAAUAAGAAAAGCAGCUAGCAAUAACUGAUCAAAUUUGAAUCAUCUGGUUGUUUGAGUAACAAAUAUUUGUUAAGUUUAAAAUUUUGUCGCGGAAUGUCCAGCUAUAGUGUGCCACAAAUAUGAUCAUACAAUUUAGGGAUAUGAAAUAAGUGCUACAGCGUAGAUUACACAGGGUUUUCCUGUCAGAUUUUUUUUUCCAUUCCUAAUUUAGCAAAAGAGUACUUUAAUACUGUUCAGAAAGGAUGUCUUCGAAGUGCUGCGCGGUAAGCUAAUGUUUUACGUGACUCAUCUAUCAAAACAGUGAUAAAUUAUUUUUAAACGGGCAAGGUUGUUUAAUGUUUCUGCGAUGAAGUUUGUUACAUUAACUUAAUUAAUUUCGAUGUAAACUUAACAUUUACAACAUAAUCAAUAGGUUAUUUUGUUUACGAAGAUUAUUGCUGGUAAAUCCAUGAAUAUGUUUUUGUUGGAAUCCGUACACUUUACUGUUUAAAUGAAAAUUGUGUACCGAAGGAGACCCUAAAAUAUGCUUGAAAUACGUCUUCUUGGCAUAACGACCUUGUUGGUCAUGCCUGCCCAUUCAGGGCUUACGAGACUAUUACCUUAAGUAUACGUAGAUAGUCAGUCCUCUCGUACAGGGGAGGGAUUCGAACCCACGCUGUCGAGGUGG